This is a long non-coding RNA of Dicentrarchus labrax (European seabass), 557 nucleotides long. RefSeq lists it as uncharacterized. Lineage: Eukaryota; Metazoa; Chordata; Actinopteri; Moronidae. The record is from RefSeq and is a predicted model, not a curated record. The transcript has 2 exons.
ACAACCGACAGCGACACAGCGACAGACUCACUGCUCCCAAAGUGACAGGAGGCCAUAAACACAACUGUGACUCGUUAACAGGAGAAGGAAAGAGAGAGGAUAACACGUAGAAAAGGAGCACAGGUCAGAUUUGAACCCAUAGACGCUGAAGCAAGGACCCGACCGCGGUACAAGGGGCGCCAGCUCCACCAGGUGAGCUACCAAGGCCUCCCGUCAUUAACAUUUCUACCCCCUCCUUUUACCGUGGGACUCUUUUUCCACUCCAGAAAUGAAAAGAGGCGGGACUUGUCAUGAUCUGUACAAGUUCUUGAUUUUAUUGUAAGCACAGCUUUGUAAAUGCACGAAGGAAACAACAGUGAAAACUAGAAUGUUACAAGAAGAGGAAGGAAAGAAAGACACAAUGAAGAGAAGAGGGUGACAUGACAGUUUUUUUUUUUCCAGAGCUGUAAAUAAUACAUUUCUACAAAUUCCUCAGCUGAGAAAACAUAAGUGUGAGAGAGAGAGAGAGAGAGAGAGAGAGAGAGAGAGAGAGAGAGAGAGAGAGAGAGAGAGAGAGA